ACGAACGCUGGCGGCGUGCUUCACACAUGCAAGUCGAACGGAAAGGCCUCUUUCGGGGGGUACUCGAGUGGCGAACGGGUGAGUAACACGUGAGUAACCUGCCCUUGACUUUGGGAUAACUUCAGGAAACUGGGGCUAAUACCGGAUAGGAGCUCCUGCUGCAUGGUGGGGGUUGGAAAGUUUCGGCGGUUGGGGAUGGACUCGCGGCUUAUCAGCUUGUUGGUGGGGUAGUGGCUUACCAAGGCUUUGACGGGUAGCCGGCCUGAGAGGGUGACCGGCCACAUUGGGACUGAGAUACGGCCCAGACUCCUACGGGAGGCAGCAGUGGGGAAUAUUGCACAAUGGGUGGAAGCCUGAUGCAGCAACGCCGUGUGCGGGAUGACGGCCUUCGGGUUGUAAACCGCUUUCGCUCAUGACGAAGCUUUGUGUGACGGUAGUGGGUAAAGAAGCACCGGCUAACUACGUG
This 466-nucleotide ribosomal RNA is filed under the name uncultured bacterium. Its description in RNAcentral is "partial 16S ribosomal RNA". It matches the Rfam family "Bacterial small subunit ribosomal RNA", at positions 29 to 507 of the family's 1533-position model. The record is from RNAcentral.